Molecule: ribosomal RNA, 2475 nt
Filed under: Actinomycetes bacterium
Lineage: Bacteria; Bacillati; Actinomycetota; Actinomycetes
Description: partial 23S ribosomal RNA
Rfam family: Bacterial large subunit ribosomal RNA
Source: RNAcentral
UGACAGCGUGCCUUUUGAAGAAUGAGCCUGCGAGUUAUCGAUAUGUCGCGAGGUUAACCCGUGAGGGGUAGCCGUAGCGAAAGCGAGUCUGAAUAGGGCGACGCAGUGGCAUGUCGUAGACCCGAAGCGGAGUGAUCUACCCAUGGCCAGGUUGAAGCGAAGGUAAGACUUCGUGGAGGACCGAACCCACCUAGGUUGAAAACUGGGGGGAUGAGUUGUGGGUAGGGGUGAAAGGCCAAUCAAACUCCGUUAUAGCUGGUUCUCCCCGAAAUGCAUUUAGGUGCAGCGUCACGCGUUUCUUAUCGGAGGUAGAGCACUGGAUGAGCUAGGGGGCCCAAAAGCUUACUGAACCCAACCAAACUCCGAAUGCCGAUAAGUUAGAGCGUGGCAGUGAGACUGCGGGCGAUAAGGUUCGUAGUCGAGAGGGAAACAGCCCAGACCACCAACUAAGGCCCCCAAGCGUAUGCUAAGUGGGAAAGGAUGUGGAGUCGCAUAGACAACCAGGAGGUUGGCUUAGAAGCAGCCACCCUUGAAAGAGUGCGUAAUAGCUCACUGGUCAAGUGAUUCCGCGCCGACAAUGUAGCGGGGCUCAAGCACACCGCCGAAGUCGUGACAUUGAUACGUGUACUCGGUCAGUCUGGUUCGCCGGACUGAUCCAGGUGUAUCGAUGGGUAGGGGAGCGUCGUGUGGCGAGCGAAGCGACGGGGUAACCCAGUCGUGGAUGCCACACGAGUGAGAAUGCAGGCAUGAGUAGCGAAAGACGGGUGAGAAACCCGUCCGCCGAAUGACCAAGGGUUCCAGGGCCAGGUUAAUCCGCCCUGGGUAAGUCGGGACCUAAGGCGAGGCCGACAGGCGUAGUCGAUGGACAACGGGUUGAUAUUCCCGUACCGGUGAUAACGCGCCCAUGCUGAACCUGGCGAUGCUAAGCGCCUGAAGCUGGAUUCUCUUCGGAGAUGAAAGUGGAGCGCGCGAACCAAACCAGUAGUAGGCAAGCAAUGGGGUGACGCAGCAAGGUAGUUCAUCCGCGGCGAUGGUAGUCCGCGGGCAAGGUUGUAGGGCGAGACAUAGGUAAAUCCGUGUCUCAUAAGCCUGAGAACCGAUGCGGAGCCGAUUCAGGCGAAGUGAAUGAUCCUACACUGUCAAGAAAAGCCUCUAGCGAGUGUUAUCACCGCCCGUACCCCAAACCGACACAGGUGGUCAGGUAGAGAAUACCAAGGCGAUCGAGAGAACCGUGGUUAAGGAACUCGGCAAAAUACCCCCGUAACUUAGGGAGAAGGGGGGCCAUUGCUGGUGACGGGAUUUACUCCCCGAGCUGGUGAAGGCCGCAGAGACCAGGCUGAAGCGACUGUUUAUCAAAAACACAGGUCCGUGCUAAGUCGCAAGACGAUGUAUACGGACUGACGCCUGCCCGGUGCUGGAACGUUAAGGGGACGGGUUAGUGCUUUUAGCACGAAGCUCUGAACUUAAGCGCCAGUAAACGGCGGUGGUAACUAUAACCAUCCUAAGGUAGCGAAAUUCCUUGUCGGGUAAGUUCCGACCUGCACGAAUGGCGUAACGACUUCAGCGCUGUCUCAACCGCGGACUCGGCGAAAUUGCACUACGAGUAAAGAUGCUCGUUACGCGCGGAAGGACGGAAAGACCCCGGGACCUUUACUACAACUUGGUAUUGGUGGUCGGUUCGGUUUGUGUAGGAUAGGUGGGAGACUUUGAAGCAGUAACGCCAGUUAUUGUGGAGUCGUUGUUGAAAUACCACUCUGAUCGAAUUGGCUGUCUAACCUCGGUCCAUUAUCUGGACUAGGGACAGUGCCUGGUGGGUAGUUUAACUGGGGCGGUUGCCUCCUAAAAAGUAACGGAGGCGCUCAAAGGUUCCCUCAGCCUGGUUGGCAAUCAGGUAGCGAGUGUAAGUGCACAAGGGAGCUUGACUGCGAGACCGACAGGUCGAGCAGGGACGAAAGUCGGAACUAGUGAUCCGGCACCGGCUUGUGGAAGCGGUGUCGCUCAACGGAUAAAAGGUACCCCGGGGAUAACAGGCUGAUCCUGCCCAAGAGUCCAUAUCGACGGCAUGGUUUGGCACCUCGAUGUCGGCUCGUCGCAUCCUGGGGCUGGAGUAGGUCCCAAGGGUUGGGCUGUUCGCCCAUUAAAGCGGCACGCGAGCUGGGUUCAGAACGUCGUGAGACAGUUCGGUCCCUAUCCUCCGCGCGCGCAGGAGUCUUGAGAAAGGCUGUCCCUAGUACGAGAGGACCGGGACGGACGAACCUCUGGUGUGCCAGUUGUUCCGCCAGGAGCACGGCUGGUUGGCUACGUUCGGGAGGGAUAACCGCUGAAAGCAUCUAAGCGGGAAGCCUGUUUCAAGAUAAGGACUCCCACAGAUUUAUCUGGUAAGGCCCCCAGUAGAUGACUGGGUUGAUAGGCCGGAGGUGGAAGUGCAGCAAUGCAUGGAGCUGACCGGUACUAAUAGGCCGAGGACUUGACCUC